GCCCUAGUAACGGCGAGUGAAGCGGCAACAGCUCAAAUUUGAAAUCUGGCGUCUUCGGCGUCCGAGUUGUAAUUUGCAGAGGGCGCUUUGGCAUUGGCAGCGGUCCAAGUUCCUUGGAACAGGACGUCACAGAGGGUGAGAAUCCCGUACGUGGUCGCUAGCCUUUACCGUGUAAAGCCCCUUCGACGAGUCGAGUUGUUUGGGAAUGCAGCUCUAAAUGGGAGGUAAAUUUCUUCUAAAGCUAAAUACUGGCCAGAGACCGAUAGCGCACAAGUAGAGUGAUCGAAAGAUGAAAAGCACUUUGGAAAGAGAGUUAAAAAGCACGUGAAAUUGUUGAAAGGGAAGCGCUUGCAGCCAGACUUGCCUGUAGUUGCUCAUCCGGGUUUCUACCCGGUGCACUCUUCUAUAGGCAGGCCAGCAUCAGUUUGGGCGGUUGGAUAAAGGUCUCUGUCAUGUACCUCCUCUCGGGGAGAACUUAUAGGGGAGACGACAUGCAACCAGCCUGGACUGAGGUCCGCGCAUCUGCUAGGAUGCUGGCGUAAUGGCUGUAAGCGGCCCGUCUUGAAACACGGACCAAGGAGUCUAACAUCUAUGCGAGUGUUUGGGUGUCAAGCCCGAGCGCGUAAUGAAAGUGAACGGAGGUGGGAACCUUUCGGGGUGCACCAUCGACCGAUCCUGAUGUCUUCGGAUGGAUUUGAGUAAGAGCAUAGCUGUUGGGACCCGAAAGAUGGUGAACUAUGCUUGAAUAGGGUGAAGCCAGAGGAAACUCUGGUGGAGGCUCGCAGCGGUUCUGACGUGCAAAUCGAUCGUCAAAUUUGGGCAUAGGGGCGAAAGACUAAUCGAACUAUCUAGUA
RNAcentral lists this ribosomal RNA (854 nucleotides) under Epicoccum sp. RNAcentral describes it as "partial large subunit ribosomal RNA". It matches the Rfam family "Eukaryotic large subunit ribosomal RNA", at positions 77 to 949 of the family's 3401-position model. The record is from RNAcentral. Lineage: Eukaryota; Fungi; Ascomycota; Dothideomycetes; Pleosporales; Didymellaceae.